RNAcentral lists this microRNA precursor (73 nucleotides) under Myotis brandtii (Brandt's bat). Its description in RNAcentral is "mir-9193 microRNA precursor family". It matches the Rfam family "mir-9193 microRNA precursor family". The record is from Rfam by way of RNAcentral. Lineage: Eukaryota; Metazoa; Chordata; Mammalia; Chiroptera; Vespertilionidae.
CAUGGGGGGGCGUGUCCCUCAGCCUGGAUUGCCAGAGGGUGCAGGCCAGGUUAAGGGACCCCACUGGUGCACG